AGGCUUAACACAUGCAAGUCGAGCGCUCCGCAAGGGGAGCGGCAGACGGGUGAGUAACGCGUGGGAAUCUACCCAGCUCUACGGAAUAACUCAGGGAAACUUGUGCUAAUACCGUAUACGUCCGAGAGGAGAAAGAUUUAUCGGAGUUGGAUGAGCCCGCGUUGGAUUAGCUAGUUGGUGGGGUAAAGGCCUACCAAGGCGACGAUCCAUAGCUGGUCUGAGAGGAUGAUCAGCCACACUGGGACUGAGACACGGCCCAGACUCCUACGGGAGGCAGCAGUGGGGAAUAUUGGACAAUGGGCGCAAGCCUGAUCCAGCCAUGCCGCGUGAGUGAUGAAGGCCCUAGGGUUGUAAAGCUCUUUCACCGGUGAAGAUAAUGACGGUAACCGGAGAAGAAGCCCCGGCUAACUUCGUGCCAGCAGCCGCGGUAAUACGAAGGGGGCUAGCGUUGUUCGGAAUUACUGGGCGUAAAGCGCACGUAGGCGGACAUUUAAGUCAGGGGUGAAAUCCCGGGGCUCAACCCCGGAACUGCCUCUGAUACUGGGUGUCUAGAGUCCGAGAGAGGUGAGUGGAAUUCCGAGUGUAGAGGUGA
RNAcentral lists this ribosomal RNA (592 nucleotides) under uncultured bacterium. RNAcentral describes it as "bacterial SSU rRNA". It matches the Rfam family "Bacterial small subunit ribosomal RNA", at positions 44 to 684 of the family's 1533-position model. The record is from RNAcentral.